This 787-nucleotide ribosomal RNA is filed under the name uncultured Psychromonas sp. RNAcentral's name for it is "bacterial SSU rRNA". It matches the Rfam family "Bacterial small subunit ribosomal RNA", at positions 32 to 807 of the family's 1533-position model. The record is from RNAcentral. Lineage: Bacteria; Pseudomonadati; Pseudomonadota; Gammaproteobacteria; Alteromonadales; Psychromonadaceae.
AACGCUGGCGGCAGGCUUAACACAUGCAAGUCGAACGGAAAACAGAAAGUAGCUUGCUACUUUGCUGUCGAGUGGCGGACGGGUGAGUAAUGCUUGGGAAUAUGCCAAAACGUGGGGGACAACAGUUGGAAACGACUGCUAAUACCGCAUAAUGUCUUCGGACCAAAGCAGGGGACCUUCGGGCCUUGCGCGUUUUGAUUAGCCCAAGUGGGAUUAGCUAGUUGGUAAGGUAAUGGCUUACCAAGGCGACGAUCCCUAGCUGGUCUUAGAGGAUGACCAGCCACACUGGAACUGAGACACGGUCCAGACUCCUACGGGAGGCAGCAGUGGGGAAUAUUGCACAAUGGAGGAAACUCUGAUGCAGCCAUGCCGCGUGUGUGAAGAAGGCUUUCGGGUUGUAAAGCACUUUCAGUGGGGAGGAAAGGGUGUACGUUAAUAGCGUGCAUCUGUGACGUUACCCACAGAAGAAGCACCGGCUAACUCCGUGCCAGCAGCCGCGGUAAUACGGAGGGUGCGAGCGUUAAUCGGAAUUACUGGGCGUAAAGCGCGCGUAGGUGGUUAAUUAAGUCAGAUGUGAAAGCCCAGGGCUCAACCUUGGAACUGCAUUUGAAACUGGUUAACUAGAGUUUUGUAGAGGGUGGUAGAAUUUCAGGUGUAGCGGUGAAAUGCGUAGAGAUCUGAAGGAAUACCAGUGGCGAAGGCGGCCACCUGGACAAAGACUGACACUGAGGCGCGAAGGCGUGGGGAGCAAACGGGAUUAGAUACCCCGGUAGUCCACGCAGUAAAC